RNAcentral lists this ribosomal RNA (694 nucleotides) under uncultured bacterium. RNAcentral's name for it is "bacterial SSU rRNA". It matches the Rfam family "Bacterial small subunit ribosomal RNA", at positions 32 to 715 of the family's 1533-position model. The record is from RNAcentral.
AACGCUAGCUACAGGCUUAACACAUGCAAGUCGCGGGGUAACGAGAGGGAAGCUUGCUUUCCUUGUCGACGACCGGCGCACGGGUGAGUAACGCGUAUGCAACCUACCUAUCAGAGGGGAAUAACCCGGCGAAAGUCGGACUAAUACCGCAUAAAACAGGGACACCGCAUGGUGAUAUUUGUUAAAGAAAUUCGCUGAUAGAUGGGCAUGCGUUCCAUUAGGUAGUUGGUGAGGUAACGGCUCACCAAGCCGACGAUGGAUAGGGGAACUGAGAGGUUGGUCCCCCACACUGGUACUGAGACACGGACCAGACUCCUACGGGAGGCAGCAGUGAGGAAUAUUGGUCAAUGGGCGAGAGCCUGAACCAGCCAAGUCGCGUGAAGGAAGAAGGAUCUAUGGUUCGUAAACUUCUUUUGCAGGGGAAUAAAGUGCAGGACGUGUGGUUAUUUGUAGGUACUGUAUGAAUAAGGACCGGCUAAUUCCGUGCCAGCAGCCGCGGUAAUACGGAAGGUCCAGGCGUUAUCCGGAUUUAUUGGGUUUAAAGGGAGCGUAGGCCGUCUGUUAAGCGUGUUGUGAAAUGUAGAUGCUCAACAUCUGAAUUGCAGCGCGAACUGGCAGACUUGAGUGUGCGCAACGUAGGCGGAAUUCGUGGUGUAGCGGUGAAAUGCAUAGAUAUCACGAAGAACUCCGAUUG